RNAcentral lists this ribosomal RNA (944 nucleotides) under Paenarthrobacter nicotinovorans. RNAcentral's name for it is "bacterial SSU rRNA". It matches the Rfam family "Bacterial small subunit ribosomal RNA", at positions 36 to 993 of the family's 1533-position model. Lineage: Bacteria; Bacillati; Actinomycetota; Actinomycetes; Micrococcales; Micrococcaceae. The record is from RNAcentral.
CUGGCGGCGUGCUUAACACAUGCAAGUCGAACGAUGAUCCCAGCUUGCUGGGGGAUUAGUGGCGAACGGGUGAGUAACACGUGAGUAACCUGCCCUUGACUCUGGGAUAAGCCUGGGAAACUGGGUCUAAUACCGGAUAUGACUCCUCAUCGCAUGGUGGGGGGUGGAAAGCUUUUGUGGUUUUGGAUGGACUCGCGGCCUAUCAGCUUGUUGGUGGGGUAAUGGCCUACCAAGGCGACGACGGGUAGCCGGCCUGAGAGGGUGACCGGCCACACUGGGACUGAGACACGGCCCAGACUCCUACGGGAGGCAGCAGUGGGGAAUAUUGCACAAUGGGCGCAAGCCUGAUGCAGCGACGCCGCGUGAGGGAUGACGGCCUUCGGGUUGUAAACCUCUUUCAGUAGGGAAGAAGCGUAAGUGACGGUACCUGCAGAAGAAGCGCCGGCUAACUACGUGCCAGCAGCCGCGGUAAUACGUAGGGCGCAAGCGUUAUCCGGAAUUAUUGGGCGUAAAGAGCUCGUAGGCGGUUUGUCGCGUCUGCUGUGAAAGACCGGGGCUCAACUCCGGUUCUGCAGUGGGUACGGGCAGACUAGAGUGCAGUAGGGGAGACUGGAAUUCCUGGUGUAGCGGUGAAAUGCGCAGAUAUCAGGAGGAACACCGAUGGCGAAGGCAGGUCUCUGGGCUGUAACUGACGCUGAGGAGCGAAAGCAUGGGGAGCGAACAGGAUUAGAUACCCUGGUAGUCCAUGCCGUAAACGUUGGGCACUAGGUGUGGGGGACAUUCCACGUUUUCCGCGCCGUAGCUAACGCAUUAAGUGCCCCGCCUGGGGAGUACGGCCGCAAGGCUAAAACUCAAAGGAAUUGACGGGGGCCCGCACAAGCGGCGGAGCAUGCGGAUUAAUUCGAUGCAACGCGAAGAACCUUACCAAGGCUUGACAUGAACCG